This is a long non-coding RNA of Oncorhynchus gorbuscha (pink salmon), 3667 nucleotides long. RefSeq lists it as uncharacterized. The transcript has 3 exons. Lineage: Eukaryota; Metazoa; Chordata; Actinopteri; Salmoniformes; Salmonidae. The record is from RefSeq and is a predicted model, not a curated record.
CCGGUAAUGGCUGAAAUCGGUUCAGUGGAAUACAUUGUCUUCGGUUGCAUAUAUAAGAACGCUUGUUCAGGGAUUUAACUCGUCAUCGACACACAUAUCACAGCCAUGCUGAGAGAAAACAACAUAUCGGCAGAGAGCCGGAUGGCAGUUCGACAGUGGCAGACAGCGAGACGGCGAAAUGUUUCGAAUCCGAGCACAGCAUCGAGUGUCAUCACCGCCUUCACCGUUGCUUCGCCAUCCGACCGGACCGAGCCAAGCUAGACGGAGUGAAUGAGUCAAGUCAGAUCUGAGUACCCACUCCUUGACCAUUCCUGGUCGUGUUUUAGUGUGACCCACUCGCCACCCCAUCCCACGGCAGUCCACACAUCCUCGCCACAUCGUUACAGGGCCUCAACGAGCUGUGUUAGCGAGGUUGGUACACUUCAUUCAAUAUUCUCCAGGGACAAAUUCUGAAAUGUAUAUUUUCUGGAAGCUAACGGGCCUGACAUGACUUGGAAGCACUAUUCUCAUAGUGGCCCCUUCAUGGUACGGAGGGGUUUGCAAUCAUAGCCCUCCUUUAAGGGCUAUGAUUGAUGUUGGACAAUCACAAAGCCCGACGAAAGCCCGACGAAUGAGCUAUGGUAGGCUACUAUGCUAGCAAUUAACCAUCAAGCGCCUGGCUAAACCUUGGCAUUCUUACGAAAUAGGUCGCUCUGCACCGACCAACAGCCAGACAGGACACGAGUGGAGAAGAAAAACGUCUCUAUUCCGUGUGCGUUUUGUUUAGAUAUCCCUCCAAGUUACAGAGGCCUGCCUAAGUUCUGCGUCUUCCGACUCGAAGUCGAGGCUUAAAAAUCGGCAUUACUUAAAAGGAGCGAGGAGCGAGCGAGCCUCCCUCCCAAAAAUUAAGCUGGAGAAGUUAGCGAUGUGGAAUCAUCCUUGUGGAAUCAGCAGCGCUUUAGGCUUUGGGUUCGUCGCUCGGCGGUCAAUUACUCAUCAGUAAGUAAGGUGAUCCUCAGCCUCUGCUCUGCCCUUCUCUCCCCCUGAUCAGCUCCAUAUGGGAACCUCUGCCCCGACCACUAUAACUAUAUUUCUAACACAUAAAUGCUUCUGAUUGUUAUUCGAGGCCCGGCCAAAACUCAAUAGCUUAAUCUUUGCGGCGUGAUGAGAACUGGAGCAAUAUUCAUCCAUAUCAUACCGUUAGUUAUAUUCUCUCUCCGAGUCUCUGUGAGUGGCCGUAUAAAAAACACAUGCAGAGGGAGACAUGGUUGCGGUAUUAAGUAUGUGAUGACAAAUGGCUCACACUGAAUCUGGAUUGCCUCACGGUAUAUAAGAGGCGAGCAUGUAUUUCUGAGAGCAAACGAAAGUCAGGCAAUAUCUUCCAGGACUUUUCAACACGAAGUGGAGCCAUGAAACCUUAGCAGAUAGAGUGGGGCAGGGGCCAGGUCAGUUACUACAGGAAUAGGAGAGACCUCAGAUCUCUGCUUAGCACACGUCAGGCAGGACCAUGGCAUACACUCUUAGAAAAAGCUACUAGAACCCAAAAGGAUUCUUUGUCUGUCCCCAUAGGAGAACCCUUUGAAGAACCCGUUUUGGUUCCAGUUAGAUCCCUUUUGAGUUCCUUGUAGAACCCUUUACACAGAGGGCUCUACAUGGAACCCAAAAUAGUUCUACCUGGGACCAAAAGGGGUUCUACCUGGAACCAAAAAGGGUUCUCCUAUGGGGAUAGAUUAAGAACCCUUUUGGAACCCUUUUUUCUAAGAGUGUACUGGCUGGCUUGGUUUUCAGUGGGCUGGUAGCUGGGGACCAUGGCAGAGAGAACCGGGCUGGGGCCAGGACAGUUACUGCACCAGCAGCUAUAGUGUCUUCAGGGAUGGCUGGGCCUUCAGGGAUCUAUUGGCUGGGUGCUUGGGCUUGGGUAAAGGACUGGGGAUUGAGUAUAGAGGCUGGGGCCAGGACAAUUAGAGCAGCAGUAGCAGCAGGGGCUGGGGCCAGGGCCAUAGGACCUGCUGGCUGGCUGGGUCUUCAGCAGUCAGGUGGCUGGCGAUGGAAUUGGGGCUGGGGCUCUGGCUGAAACUACAGGAGUGGUGGUGGUUGGGUCUUUAGGAGUCUGGGUUUGUGUGGCCUGGCCAUAUUAGAGAACCAGAGGCCUGGGUCCAGGGAUUCUCUUACCUAGCCCUACCCCAAACCUCUAAAUCCCCACCCCCCUCAACCUGCCAGCGAAAACAAGCAGGCGUCUCCAUUUCACACACACAUCCCUCGGCCCGUAACGACCACUCAUAACAUUGUCCCGGGAAUGGCGUCUGAGCCCGUGGCAUUCAACAAACGUUAUGUUUCCCUCCAAAUUGAACGAGACAAGAAAAAACAAAUGCAAGUGGUCGGGCCGGGGGGAGAGAACGUGUUUUGACAUGAUGUCACUUAACAGCAAAGUGUAACGGUGACAAUAAACUCUCGUUCCGGCCCGGCCGCACCGGCAAGUCCGCCCGCCACCGUGUUGACUGAAGUAUUUAGGAUAUAAAUAUAAAUGUAGUGGAAACCACAUGCUGGCAUUCUGCUCUAGCCAGAUGUUGACCAUGGGAAAAUAGCAUCACAAUGGAAACAAGGCCUCUUGGACAUUAAAACGCAAUUAACUCCAACCAUAUCUUUACGUGUAAAAGUGUGCAAUUCAGCCUUACGUCAGACUUCAGUCAGACGGAUGGCAUAUCGUCCCUACAACAUAUAGAAUCAUUCAGAAACAGAGCCAAUACGCAUUUAUGAGGCCUUCCCACCAAGACAUUACACAGCAUUGUCUAAGAAAACGGAAUGAAAGAAAGAGAAGCGGUACUCAGGUAAUACUGUAAUUAAUGUAUGUGGUCAUGAUUGGGGAUGAAGUUCGUCAUUAAUUUUGGGAGGCCUACAUUAUAAUAAAGUGCAGUAAAGAAUAUGUUACUUCUUAGCGUAGUACUCAGCAGAUGAAAGACCUUACUGUCAGUGAAACGGAGAGAAGCCAGAGAGAGAUAGAGAGAAAAGGGUACUUUAAGCUAUGUUAAACGAUUUUUCUCCUAGUAUUUCAUGCCACAAUGACCGCUCCUGAAUGUGUGUGUGUGUGUCGGCAGUUUGCUGUCUCACUCAUUCUCGCUGGGUGACCUGUUGCAUGCCUCCACCUCUUUUAUUAAAUCACUUGUGAUUACAACCAAUAAAAACCUACCCAGAGAAACUCAGGAUAAAAUGUCCUAUUUUAUUUCCUUAACCCUGCUCUUGACCUGGGAGUGUAAUUAACAGGUAUUAUGAGAAAAAGGAAAAUUGUGGGUAAUUAUCAUGAUAAUUACAGGGGACAUUCCAAGGACGAGCUGAGACUGCCAGAUACUGUGUGUUGGUGUGUUUCCCCCCUCCUCCCUUCACAGGCUCUUAAUGUUAUGAUAGAGUCAUUACACACUCUGAGAAAACAUAUUUAGCAGGCCCACCUCAGUAUUUCAGACAGGUGCUUGUGUGUUAAAUCGCAACCCAGGAUUCACAGUGUGUAAGAGCCAGCAUGUAUGCUUAUGCUCAAUCACCUAACUGGGCAUGCCUGGGUUGCUACUUCUGCCCUGAGUUGUGUGUGUGUGUGUGUGUGUGUGUGUGUGUGUGUGUGUGUGUGUGUGUGUGUGUGUGUGUGUGUGUGUGUGUGUGUGUGUGUGUGUGUGUGUGUGUGUGUGUGUGUGUGUGUGUG